AAUAAAUAUCGCUAUCCACGUGCACCGGAUAAAUUAAUAUCCAAUGGAUAACCCGGUUUGUUUUGCCAACACGUAUCCAUUGGAUAGUGACUUAUCAGUCAGAUAGCGUUAUCCAUUCUUUGAACAACUGGGUCCAGUUCUGGGUCCAGAGUAUUCAAAAUCGUGAAAUUUGGUUCAAAGAGGAUAUAGGUUCAGAGAGUAAAGAUGCUUCCCGCCCUCCAGCUAUUUAUGUUUACGUAAAUAUUUUUCCACCUCGCAGCGUGCGAAAGUUUCAAUAGGUUUUACCCACACCAGACAGAAAUGUCAGUUUUUCGAACCGAAGCAUAUUUCCCUGGGGAGAUCUUGACUGAAAUAUUUUAAACUUUGUUUUCAUGCGAAAAAUAACAAUUUCUUGAGAUGUAGAAAUGUCGACGCAGUUGGAAUAUGAAAUGAAAUGUUGUAAUUCUCUUUAAUCACAUCUCCAGGAUGCGUUCAGCGGCUGCCAGAUCCUGCCAUGCUCACACAAGGUUCACAGGGAGUGCGCCAUUGCAAUGAUACAAAACGGCGUUCGCAAUUGCCCAAUUUGUCGUCAUCCGCUGUACAGUCAGUCAGCAAGCACCGGGUAAAAUGGUUCCAAUGGAAAACAGGGACCUUUUGCAUUAUGAUAUUAUUACGACUGGCAGGAGAGCCUCUUUACGGUAAACGAUUCUCGUUUGGAUAACACCUUAAUCAAAUUGUAGUUUUAGCUUUUUUAAAAGCUCUAAUUUUGUUGCACUGACUUAAUUAGGAAACGUAACCAAAUGAAAGGAAUCUUUUAUUGUUAUUACAUUUUAGCUAGUAGUACCCAUAUUUUUAAAAUUUUGUAUUCCUUGCCAGUCCAGGAGUGCCUAAAAUCUCGUGUUCGUUUAUACAAAAAGGCAUUUGGAAAAUUUAGGGGUUCAUCAUAGCGAACCAGUGUUCGCGUUGUAGAUAUCUCAGUUGUAUAUAAACGACUACAACUUCAACCUAUAAACGAGUUGUGUAAUUUGUGAUAGGUAAUUGAUAUUGUUUUAGCCUGUUAAUAUGCACACGGAACGUCAAUAUCAGAUCAGCAAAAAUUUUGAACAAUUUUAAAAGCAUCAUUCGAAAGUUUGAUGUUAGCUCUCUGCUGGACGACGGAAGCAUGCGUUGUUCUUGCUGCUCAUCUAUGUAGUUAGUUAUUAAUAAUUUAUUAGGUGAUAACACUAUGAAAACAUUAUCAACAGAUUAUGUCUUAGUUUUAAUUUUAACUGUUACUAGAUCUUAUUUCAAUAUAUUUUAUCUUAUAUUUUAGUCUCCCCAAUUAGGAGAGCACUUGUGCUCGGCUAUUAAGACUUGAGACGUAGAUAAAGUUGUCAUUUAUUCAUUCAUAGCUAGUUUUAAUAGAAAUAGAUUACAAGUAAGUCGUAAAGACGGUGUAUGACUUAAUCAUAGUUCCGUGAACAGCUUAAAGCCGAUUGUAUGUACAUAUUGAAAACUUGGAGCACGAAAACCGUCACAGGAUAUUCGGUUUGGUUUACAGUGAAUUAGUUCAGGUGUACAAUAAAACAACAGAAAAAAAAGUGUAUGAUCGGACCAAUUUAUUGUCUAGAAAAUGCCACUUUAAUUAUUGAUACUGUAUGAUAUAAAAUAAAUUUAGAGUGGUGUGCUAGGAAUCGAGUCGCACUCUGCAAACCAACUGGUACGCCCUCAAGUUAGUUGAACAAGAAAUAAAAGAGACAAAAAUGCAAGAAAAAAAGAAACAAAAAAAUCGUUAAAAAUCAUUAAAAAAAAGUGUUAAAAGGAUAGAAAAAACACAUUAGAAAUUAAAACCCUCAAUAGGAGUAGGACGCCGCCAUUUGAAAGUGGCGAGCUGUGUACAGAUAAAAUGUCAUUGAAGUAUAUAAAACCGUUUUAAAGUAUAUGAAAGUCCCUUAAACUUAAGUAGUAAGAAAUAAAAAAAAAUCGAGGUAAAAGGGAAAAAAAAUGCUCAAAAAAAUUGUAAAAGGAUCUAAAAAGAACGUUACAAAUUAAAGACUACAAUAUGAGUGGGAGGCCGGCCACCACUUUGAAAGUUGGUAGCUGUGCAUGGCUGUAGAGUUAAAAAUAUCAUCAAAGUGUUCAAGCCAUUUUGAAUUUUUCGAGAUCGUUUAAGUCUGCAAAUGACGAAAAUUCAAUGAUGAAAGCUCUCUGAAAUCCGAAGUGACAGGACAAAAGAAUUGACCAAGAGUUAACAUCAUAAACAUAUGAUGUGCUUUCCGUAUAUACAACAUCAGUUUUAAAACCGGAAAAAAAAUUUAAAAAUGCUUGCAGUACAACGAUAGUUCGAUCGAUGUGACAGCAGUGAUUAUAUUCUAAACUUCAUUUUAUGCUUAAUGACGACCAGUACUUACUCUAAGUAGGUAGGUUAGCUGUGCUAUUUUGAGUAGUGUAGUAUUUAGUAGUAGUCAAAAAAAGAAAACUUCAUUUUAUGCUAGUAGAUGGAUAGGGUUGUUUAAAAGAUACUGGUAGUAAUUUUUAAUCCAUGAGAUUUUCGUGUCUAACUUGUUUUAGCUCUUAACACGUAUUCACAUAGGUAGCUUGGUGAAGGUUCUCUUUUUUUUUAAACAAAUUUUAAGGUACGAUUAAUAACUAAAAUAUUAGAGAUUUUUAAGUAGGUCUAAUAGUCAAGAUGUUAUCGCAAACUUCGCUGGAAUUCCAAAUUAAUUAAGUUGGCAAUGAAAAUCAGAGUGAAAAACAAGUUUUCAAUAUUGAGGACGGACCAAUACAUUUACUGAAUUGCUCCAUGCCAUAUCACCGUUCCCGCUCCUGAGAGACAGGAGGCACAUUAAGACAUUCCCAGCAGAACUUAAUUAAAUUUUGAUAGAAUCGAGUGAGGUUUGCGAUAGCUGUUUCUCAACAUAUACGUAUUUUUCGGGUUGGGCCAUUAGGGAUCAGGGAGAAGGGGGAGCCAUUUCUUACUUAAAUUCGCUCAAGGCAACAUUAUCCAGAGCAAAAUUCCGUGGGCAGUUUAUCAACAAGAAUAGAUUUAAGUGCAGUGCUUGCGCGUUUCAAAAAACAAAAACAGAACCUAGCACAACUUGUACCCAAGCUGGAAAACAUUCCUACCUUGCAAACCUUUCUCUCCUUGAUUUCUGAAAAAUGCCCACCCUCCCCUUGCCCAAGACGGGCCCACUAUGGUGAUCUAUUAAUAGUUUUAGCUUGACUUGGGCUGAGAAUUUUUUAACUCUUUAGACAAUUUGUCCAACGACUUUUACUGAUUUUAUACCUCCUAUCGGCUUGAAUUGGAAAGGUUUUAACAAACUGUACGAUCGCGGUCUUUCAGUUAAAGGGAUCAGUUAUGAUCUUUUUGUGUGUCGAUUGCAGCAUUUUUAAUCUCCUGUUAAUACUUAGGUAUUUAAGGACUAAGGUAUUCCUUUACACAAGCCUCAUUGUUUUCCCUUGGCGUUCUUGCCUAUAAUAUACACAGCUGUGCUGUGAAAUAACACAAGAAACAAUUAAUCAGUCAGAAAUGUUGGACAAUUUGUUUAAAGAGCGCUAUAAUAAUAUAUUACAAUAGCGUUAAAGUAAUUGUUAGCGUUUAUAUUUUUACAAUUUAUGCUUAUUUGAUGAGAUAAUAGCAGUAGUAAUAAAUGAUUUUUAAUACUUGA
This 3626-nucleotide long non-coding RNA is filed under the name Orbicella faveolata. Its description in RNAcentral is "uncharacterized LOC110067511". Lineage: Eukaryota; Metazoa; Cnidaria; Anthozoa; Scleractinia; Merulinidae. The record is from RNAcentral.